UUAAGAUACUAAGGGCGCACGGUGGAUGCCUAGGCGCUAGGAGCCGAAGAAGGACGGGACGAACACCGAAAUGCCUCGGGGAGCUGUAAGUAAGCAACGAUCCGGGGAUUUCCGAAUGGGGGAACCCAUGCUUCGUAAUGGAAGCAUACCCAUCUUUGAACACAUAGGAGAUGAGGAGGCAACCAGGGGAACUGAAACAUCUAAGUACCCUGAGGAGAAGAAAGCAAAAGCGAUUCCCUAAGUAGUGGCGAGCGAAAGGGGAGAAGCCUAAACCGAUACUUACGGGUAUCGGGGUUGCGGGGUGUCUAACAAAAGAGUUACAAAGAAGGAAAGUAGUUGAACAGGUUUGGAAAAGCCGGCCAAAGAGCGUAAGAGCCGCGUAGGCGAAACGAUCCUUUCUCUUAAGACAGACCCCAAGUACGGCGGGACACGAGAAACCCCGUCGGAAUCCGGGAGGACCAUCUCCCAAGGCUAAAUACUCCCUAGCGACCGAUAGUGAAACAGUACCGUGAGGGAAAGGUGAAAAGCACCCCGGGAGGGGAGUGAAAGAGAACCUGAAACCGUGUGCUUACAAGCAGUUGGAGCACGAUCGAUGUGUGACAGCGUGCCUUUUGUAGAAUGAACCGGCGAGUUACGAUUGCGUGCGAGGUUAAGGUGGAGAGCCGGAGCCGAAGCGAAAGCGAGUCUGAAGAGGGCGAAAGUACGAAGUCGUAGACCCGAAACCGUGUGAUCUACCCAUGUCCAGGGUGAAGGUGAGGUAACACUCACUGGAGGCCCGAACCCACUAGUGUUGAAAAACUAGGGGAUGAGGUGUGGGUAGGGGUGAAAUGCCAAUCGAACACGGAGAUAGCUGGUUCUCCCCGAAAUAGCUUUAGGGCUAGCCUUAGGGGAUGAAAGUUGGAGGUAGAGCACUGAUUGGACUAGGGGCCCGUCAAGGGUUACCGAAUUCAGUCAAACUCCGAAUGCCAACGAAUCAACCCUAGGAGUCAGACUGCGAGUGCUAAGAUCCGUAGUCAAGAGGGAAACAGCCCAGACCAUCAGCUAAGGUCCCCAAGUAUACGUUAAGUGGAGAAGGAUGUGGAGUUGCACAGACAACCAGGAUGUUGGCUUAGAAGCAGCCACCAUUUAAAGAGUGCGUAAUAGCUCACUGGUCGAGUGACUCUGCGCCGAAAAUGUACCGGGGCUAAACGUAUCACCGAAGCUAUGGGUUCUAGAAGUGAGAAGUGAGAUGUGAGAAGUGGGAAGGAGAACGAGAUGAUAAAUGGAAGUAAUCACACCUCACACAUCUGACCUCUCACUUCUAGAGCGGUAGGGGAGCGUUCUUAUAGCAGAGAAGUCGUACCGAGAGGAGCGGUGGAGCGAUAAGAAGUGAGAAUGCCGGUAUGAGUAACGAAAAGAGGGGUGAGAAUCCCCUCCGCCGAAAACCUAAGGGUUCCUGAGGAAGGUUUGUCCGCUCAGGGUUAGUCGGGACCUAAGCCGAGGCCGAAAGGCGUAGGCGAUGGACAACAGGUUGAAAAUCCUGUACUACCGAACUCUGCAUGAGUGAAGGGGUGACGCAGGAGGGUAGGAGAAGCGUGCGGAUGGAAGAGCACGUCCAAGCGGUGAGGCAGAAGAUAGAGGCAAAUCCCUAUCUUUGAAGAAGCUAGGCCGUGAAGGGGAGGGAAAAUAGGAGUACCGAAGUCUCUGAUCUCAGACUGCCAAGAAAAGCCUCUAGCGAGGAGUAAGGUACCCGUACCGUAAACCGACACAGGUAGGUGAGGAGAGAAUCCUAAGGCGCACGGGAGAACUCUCGUUAAGGAACUCGGCAAAAUGACCCCGUAACUUCGGGAGAAGGGGUGCCCCUGUCUGGAGGUGAGAGGUGAGAAGUAAGAAGUGGGAAUCGAAGGAAUCGGCUCUGUCCAUUUCAACAAGAUCUCACAUCUCACAUCCCAUUUCUCACCUCUAGAUUGGGGGCCGCAGUGAAAAGGCCCAAGCGACUGUUUAGCAAAAACACAGGUCUCUGCGAAGCCGCAAGGCGAAGUAUAGGGGCUGACGCCUGCCCGGUGCUGGAAGGUUAAGGGGAGAGGUUAGUGAAAACGAAGCUUUGAACCGAAGCCCCAGUAAACGGCGGCCGUAACUAUAACGGUCCUAAGGUAGCGAAAUUCCUUGUCAGGU
Molecule: ribosomal RNA, 2154 nt
Filed under: sediment metagenome
Description: bacterial LSU rRNA
Rfam family: Bacterial large subunit ribosomal RNA
Source: RNAcentral